RNAcentral lists this ribosomal RNA (426 nucleotides) under uncultured bacterium. RNAcentral describes it as "partial 16S ribosomal RNA". It matches the Rfam family "Bacterial small subunit ribosomal RNA", at positions 354 to 796 of the family's 1533-position model. The record is from RNAcentral.
GUGAGGAAUUUUCCGCAAUGGGCGAAAGCCUGACGGAGCAAUGCCGCGUGAAGGAUGAAGGCCUAUGGGUUGUAAACUUCUUUUCUCAGAAAAGAAUUAUGACGGUAUCUGAGGAAUAAGCAUCGGCUAACUCUGUGCCAGCAGCCGCGGUAAGACAGAGGAUGCAAGCGUUAUCCGGAAUGAUGGGGCGUAAAGCGUCUGUAGGUUGUUUAAAAAGUAUUCUGUCAAAGAUUAGGGCUUAACCCUAGAUAGGCAGAAUAAACUUUUAAGCUAGAGUUUGGUAGAGGCAGAGGGAAUUCCCGGUGGAGCGGUGAAAUGCGUAGAUAUCGGGAGGAACACCAAAGGCGAAGGCACUCUGCUGGGCCAAUACUAACACUGAGAGACGAAAGCGAGGGGAGCAAAUGGGAUUAGAUACCCGUGUAGUCC